RNAcentral lists this long non-coding RNA (270 nucleotides) under Physcomitrium patens. Its description in RNAcentral is "long non-coding RNA (PPAT_LNC005259)". Lineage: Eukaryota; Viridiplantae; Streptophyta; Bryopsida; Funariales; Funariaceae. The record is from RNAcentral.
AGAAGAUUUAAAGUUGGAACCGGAAUUGAUGGAAUCAAUAACAGAUACUGCGGCAAUUGAUUAAUUAGAUAGGUCAGAGGGAUCGUAAUUUUUGUAGAGAUUUAUUAAAUAGUUUUUAGAUAGGUAUCAAAUGAGUGUUUGCGAGGACGCUGCACAGAUAGGAGUGGGGCUAUGUAGAAUAGAUAUUAAUUCAUUUUUGAAAGAUAUUGGUAAAAUAUAUUAAUAGUCCAUACAAUAAGAAAUUCAAGAGGACGAAUGAAUGAUUUAAUU